RNAcentral lists this ribosomal RNA (497 nucleotides) under uncultured bacterium. RNAcentral's name for it is "partial 16S ribosomal RNA". It matches the Rfam family "Bacterial small subunit ribosomal RNA", at positions 28 to 507 of the family's 1533-position model. The record is from RNAcentral.
GAUGAACGCUGGCGGCGUGCCUAAUACAUGCAAGUCGAGCGAACAGACGAGGAGCUUGCUCCUCUGACGUUAGCGGCGGACGGGUGAGUAACACGUGGAUAACCUACCUAUAAGGCUGGGAUAACUUCGGGAAACCGGAGCUAAUACCGGAUAAUAUAUUGAACCGCAUGGUUCAAUAGUGAAAGACGGUUUUGCUGUCACUUAUAGAUGGAUCCGCGCCGCAUUAGCUAGUUGGUAAGGUAACGGCUUACCAAGGCAACGAUGCGUAGCCGACCUGAGAGGGUGAUCGGCCACACUGGAACUGAGACACGGUCCAGACUCCUACGGGAGGCAGCAGUAGGGAAUCUUCCGCAAUGGGCGAAAGCCUGACGGAGCAACGCCGCGUGAAUGAUGAAGGUCUUCGGAUCGUAAAACUCUGUUAUUAGGGAAGAACAAAUGUGUAAGUAACUAUGCACGUCUUGACGGUACCUAAUCAGAAAGCCACGGCUAACUACGUG